RNAcentral lists this ribosomal RNA (265 nucleotides) under uncultured bacterium. Its description in RNAcentral is "partial 16S ribosomal RNA". It matches the Rfam family "Bacterial small subunit ribosomal RNA", at positions 92 to 353 of the family's 1533-position model. The record is from RNAcentral.
CGACCGGCGCACGGGUGAGUAACACGUAUCCAACCUGCCGUCUACUCUUGGACAGCCUUCUGAAAGGAAGAUUAAUACAAGAUGGCAUCAUGAGUCCGCAUGUUCACAUGAUUAAAGGUAUUCCGGUAGACGAUGGGGAUGCGUUCCAUUAGAUAGUAGGCGGGGUAACGGCCCACCUAGUCUUCGAUGGGUAGGGGUUCGUGAGAGGAAGGUCCCCCACCAUUGGAACUGAGACACGGUCCAAACUCCUACGGGAGGCAGCAUG